UUUUUCUUUUUGAAGACUGGUUAUAGUGUUAGUUUUCCCCACACACAGUGGUGGCUAUGCCAGCUAAUAACAUAAAUAUUAGUAUUUAACAAAAACAGAUAAAUGUUCAUAAUACCUUCUAAUGGGUAUGAAAAUAUAGCGUGCCAUGCUGGAUUUCACAAAACAUUUAAAGUCAUCCAGAAACAAACUAUUUGUUCUAUUGUAAAGCAAGACACUUUCUCUAAAGCCAACACAUCUAAUUGCAUUAAUGUAUAUGCUGGAACUAGCAUGGGAGCCACAGUUUUGCAGACACUGCAAUGUUUAGUUUCAUGCACUAGAAGCUAUUCCACUUUAUAAACCAGAAAGACCCCACACAGGGUUAACUUUAGACUGAGCACAGAAUUUUAGCAGUUUUGCCAGCUUCAGUGAAAUGACCCAUCACCUUCAGUUAAGUAUGUAAAACUUGGCAGGAUGGGGGCGAGAGAAGAGAGACAGCUGGCCCUGAACCACCGUAAAAAAAUGUGCAAGUCUGGAUAAUAUCACUCCUGAAAACAUAUGAGGAUCCAACCCAAUUACUUCACAGUUAAAUUUGUUGUAUUCUGAUAAACAUACAGGUUUUGCUAUUUCAGCAGCUUGCACUUGACUAGCAAGGACUAAUAUCCAAGCUAGGAAGGUCUGUGUUGAAUUAACCACGUGCUAGAACACAGAAUAUGGUGAUGACCUCGGUAAUACUAUUAGCCUUUUGCAUAUCUAAAUUCAGCAAGGUAGAGUUAUUCCAAAUACAGGUCUAGCAGGUGGCGUGCUGUCUGCUGCAGUCAAGUGAUCAGCUGUAUUAAUUCAGCAGGGAAUAUACUGGCAUGCCGCCUUCUGUUCUUCCAGUGCGAGACUUUGGAUUCAAGGAUUUUAGGUUUCAAAUCUUAUCUUUGAAGUAGCUACCCUUAGUAUGAUUGAUACAUGUGGCUUACAGACCAUCAGAAAAAUCAAUCUUAACUUGUAGAGUUAUAAAAAUAUAUAAUAAUACUUAAAAGGAAGAAAAAGACCCCAGACAAGCUUCAUGCUGUGGAUGAUGUGCACUUACACCCUUUGGCUCAUGUAACA
This 1077-nucleotide long non-coding RNA is filed under the name Strigops habroptila (Kakapo). Its description in RNAcentral is "lncRNA (ENSSHBG00005011138.1)". Lineage: Eukaryota; Metazoa; Chordata; Aves; Psittaciformes; Psittacidae. The record is from RNAcentral.